CAAGGGUUAAGAAGCUUGCUAUAAAUCCUGGAUCUGAAUCUGCUUUAUUUGGCCUCAAGGAGCGAAGUGCUUAUGUCUACCAACCCCACCUUAAUGCGUUUCAGCGGGGGCAGCUUCAGCCUGCAUCGCUAGCCUUCUGUAAAUUGUGUGCUGUCCCUCUGGGUGAAGUGCCCCUGGCUUGAUUGGCAGUUGUCUCCCGGUAAGCAUUUCAUGCAGAAGAUGUUCCUUAUCAGUCAUGGCCAUAUUGCAGGUCAUGUAAAUCUCCAGUGCUGCUUGUGGACUCUGCUACAAGAUUGAUGGGAUCUUCUGAGAAAUCUCUGUACCAUGAGACUGGACUACAUGCAGCUGUGGGAAAAAUUCUCCUACAUUUGUCUCUUUCUUGUUAUGAACCAAGGGAAUGUGCACUGGCUACCUUUCUAUUCUAAGGCCCUGGAGCUGGUGGUGGCUCCUCUCUCAAUUCGUCAGCGAUGCUUCCUUUGUGAUGAGAGUUUUCCAACAUCAUGAUGCUCCCACCAGGGACGAACUUGAUGCCUGAGAUCUCUACCAGGUAGACAGAGUCAGCAUGCCUUCUUCACACCCAGUGGGCCACCAAGGACACAGGAUGCCAGAAGAGUCUUCAA
Mus musculus (house mouse) is the source of this 620-nucleotide long non-coding RNA. RefSeq annotates it as predicted gene, 31430. The transcript is spliced from 5 exons. Lineage: Eukaryota; Metazoa; Chordata; Mammalia; Rodentia; Muridae. The record is from RefSeq and is a predicted model, not a curated record.